Molecule: small RNA, 28 nt
Filed under: Bombyx mori (domestic silkworm)
Lineage: Eukaryota; Metazoa; Arthropoda; Insecta; Lepidoptera; Bombycidae
Description: ovarian small RNA-6667
Source: RNAcentral
UAUUACAAGGUAAAUGUCGCGAAAAAAU